GCUCGACAAUAAAGGAACAUUUAAUCCAAUAACUUGAGUGUAUAGUUUCUAAGAAACAUUCAGAGUAAAAUUCAACUUUGAAAAAAAAAUUAGAGAAAUUUACGGUCAGUUUCUUACCAGAGCUAUAUUUUAUUGCCAACUCACAAAAAUAGCCGUUUCAUUAUCGUAAAUAAAAUGCUCCGCAGGGCGCAGCUUGUUACGACCGCAAAGGUCGAACCCUGAACAGUUUGGGCAAGUAUGGACAUAACAUUAAAGCUUGAUACAGCUCUGAAUUUGGAUUGUGAUUAUAUAUUUGACACAGCAUAGGUUUCUGACACAGAAUGAAUGUGGUCUAAGAACUAAAAAAAUUUAAAUUGGACAUUUACCUAUUAUGGUUCUAUACUCAAAAUUUAAAUACAUAGUUAGAUGCAGCAUAUUAAAGAACCCCAGGAAUUCAAUUUUUGACAAAAUUAUGGACCCUUUUGACCUCAAUGUGGACAAAUUUGAUAAAGGGGCCCAAAAAUCCAAAAUCUAAAUACAUGGUUAGAUUCAGCAUA
This 536-nucleotide long non-coding RNA is filed under the name Mytilus galloprovincialis (Mediterranean mussel). Lineage: Eukaryota; Metazoa; Mollusca; Bivalvia; Mytilida; Mytilidae. The record is from RNAcentral.